Molecule: non-coding RNA, 93 nt
Organism: Mycena rebaudengoi
Lineage: Eukaryota; Fungi; Basidiomycota; Agaricomycetes; Agaricales; Mycenaceae
Source: the annotation of a GenBank genome assembly
GGUCCAGUAGCGGAUGGUCCGCGUCUGCACGAAUUAAAAAGUGCUCGCUUAGAUGUAAUGCAGAGGAUGCUCGUUCGACUCGAGCCUGGGCCA